This 465-nucleotide ribosomal RNA is filed under the name Vreelandella stevensii. RNAcentral describes it as "partial 16S ribosomal RNA". It matches the Rfam family "Bacterial small subunit ribosomal RNA", at positions 338 to 795 of the family's 1533-position model. Lineage: Bacteria; Pseudomonadati; Pseudomonadota; Gammaproteobacteria; Oceanospirillales; Halomonadaceae. The record is from RNAcentral.
CCUACGGGGGGCUGCAGUGGGGAAUAUUGGACAAUGGGGGGAACCCUGAUCCAGCCAUGCCGCGUGUGUGAAGAAGGCCCUCGGGUUGUAAAGCACUUUCAGUGAGGAAGAACGCCUGGUGGUUAAUACCCAUCAGGAAAGACAUCACUCACAGAAGAAGCACCGGCUAACUCCGUGCCAGCAGCCGCGGUAAUACGGAGGGUGCGAGCGUUAAUCGGAAUUACUGGGCGUAAAGCGCGCGUAGGUGGCUUGAUAAGCCGGUUGUGAAAGCCCCGGGCUCAACCUGGGAACGGCAUCCGGAACUGUCAAGCUAGAGUGCAGGAGAGGAAGGUAGAAUUCCCGGUGUAGCGGUGAAAUGAGUAGAGAUCGGGAGGAAUACCAGUGGCGAAGGCGGCCUUCUGGACUGACACUGACACUGAGGUGCGAAAGCGUGGGUAGCAAACAGGAUUAGAUACCCCAGUAGUC